ACGAACGCUGGCGGCGUGCUUAACACCUGCAAGUCGAACGGAAAGGCCCUGCUUGCCGGGUACUCGAGUGGCGAACGGGUGAGUAACACGUGGGUGAUCUGCCCUGCACUUCGGGAUAGGCCUGGGAAACUGGGUCUAAUACCGGAUAGGAGCCAUUUUUAGUGUGAUGGUUGGAAAGUUUUUUCGGUGUAGGAUGAGCUCGCGGCCUAUCAGCUUGUUGGUGGGGUAAUGGCCUACCAAGGCGGCGACGGGUAGCCGGCCUGAGAGGGUGGACGGCCACAUUGGGACUGAGAUACGGCCCAGACUCCUACGGGAGGCAGCAGUGGGGAAUAUUGCACAAUGGGCGCAAGCCUGAUGCAGCGACGCCGCGUGGGGGAUGACGGCCUUCGGGUUGUAAACUCCUUUCGCUAGGGACGAAGCUUUUUGUGACGGUACCUAGAUAAGAAGCACCGGCUAACUACGUG
RNAcentral lists this ribosomal RNA (464 nucleotides) under uncultured bacterium. RNAcentral describes it as "partial 16S ribosomal RNA". It matches the Rfam family "Bacterial small subunit ribosomal RNA", at positions 29 to 507 of the family's 1533-position model. The record is from RNAcentral.